UACGUAGGUGGCAAGCGUUGUCCGGAAUUAUUGGGCGUAAAGCGCGCGCAGGCGGUCUUUUAAGUCUGAUGUGAAAGCCCACGGCUCAACCGUGGAGGGUCAUUGGAAACUGGGGGACUUGAGUGCAGGAGAGAAGAGUGGAAUUCCACGUGUAGCGGUGAAAUGCGUAGAGAUGUGGAGGAACACCAGUGGCGAAGGCGACUCUUUGGCCUGUAACUGACACUGAGGCGCGAAAGCGUGGGGAGCAAACAGG
Molecule: ribosomal RNA, 253 nt
Filed under: uncultured bacterium
Lineage: Bacteria
Description: partial 16S ribosomal RNA
Rfam family: Bacterial small subunit ribosomal RNA
Source: RNAcentral